GACGAACGCUGGCGGCGUGCUUAACACAUGCAAGUCGAACGGAAAGGCCCUGCUUUUGUGGGGUGCUCGAGUGGCGAACGGGUGAGUAACACGUGAGUAACCUGCCCUUGACUUUGGGAUAACUUCAGGAAACUGGGGCUACUACCGGAUAGGAGCUCCUGCUGCAUGGUGGGGGUUGGAAAGUUUCGGCGGGUGGGGAUGGACUGGCGGCUUAUCAGCUUGUUGGUGGGGUAGUGGCUUACCAAGGCUUUGACGGGUAGCCGGCCUGAGAGGGUGACCGGCGACAAGGGGACUGAGAGAGGCCCAAGAGGCAAAUGGGAGGCAAGGGGGGGAAGUAUGAAACAGGGGGAGAGCGUGGGUGGAGGAGGCCCCGGGGGGGGGAAGCCGGUUUGUGGGGAGAAAACAGCUGUAGCUUGAGACGACGCGGGAGUGACGGUAGUGGAAAAAGAAGCACCGGCUAACUUCGUG
This 468-nucleotide ribosomal RNA is filed under the name uncultured bacterium. RNAcentral describes it as "partial 16S ribosomal RNA". The stretch from base 20 to 329 matches the Rfam family "Bacterial small subunit ribosomal RNA", at positions 47 to 358 of the family's 1533-position model. The record is from RNAcentral.